RNAcentral lists this long non-coding RNA (783 nucleotides) under Chinchilla lanigera (long-tailed chinchilla). Its description in RNAcentral is "lncRNA (ENSCLAG00000023272.1)". The record is from RNAcentral. Lineage: Eukaryota; Metazoa; Chordata; Mammalia; Rodentia; Chinchillidae.
CUGGCUAUUAGAUUCAGUUUAGAGGCACAUGGAAAAAAUAGACAUUAUUUAAGUAUCACUUCUAUAUGUGCUAUUUUAGGCUCACGUGGUUGUGUAACAGAGAGUUCUAACCUGAGUAGGAACACAGGUCAGGGGAGUAUUCUGAAGUAAACUGCGUUGAGAGUCUGCUAAAGACUGCAUCAGCAGGGAACUUGAGACUUAUUCUCUUCCAAACUAAAACAAAAACUCCACAGUGGCGUCUCUUUUAAAGGCUGCAGAAGAGCUAGUCCCUUUGGGACAAAACGAGGUUUGUCUGUGGCACCUAAAUAUAAGAGAAUUGCUUGGAUAGAAAUCUGCAAUUAUUUCAAUUUCAUUGUGAAUGACAAUUGCACUACUUGGUCUAUAUUUCAUAGUUCUCAUCUAUACAUUUCUGGGUAAGCUGAUUUCUUCUUUUGUCAUCCAUAGAUAACUUAAGAUAAUGAGUAAUUAGCCAUUAAUGUACAACUUUGGGACUUUAAAAACCUUUACCCAGUGACUACCUCCAAUAAAGCAAUCUUUAACAUUUGUUAAAAAUUAAGAUUUAGGCAUAAAUUAGGUUUAUUGAAUAAUAAUCUCUGGAGUUCGGCCUAUGCACCUGCAUUUUAACAACUUUGGAGGGAUACUUAUGUUAGUCUUUUUUUCAGAAAUUUUGAUGUAAGAUUAGAUUAAGUUGGAUUUUUUCACUUGGAUAGUUCAAACAAACAUAUAUAAAUGAAGGUAUUUCUUUAAAAACCAAAAAUGUGUCUAAUAUAUAUUCAUUUGACC